AAUAAUGUCAUUUUACGAUCAGUAUUCGUCUACUGGGUGCUUGGGACUGUGCAAGGCCUGACGAGAGAAUUCAGCAAAAACUGUGACUAUCUCAUUGCUUCUAUCUGCGCUAGGUCUCUAUUAGAACAAUGAAUGGUCUCUGUGUUUCCCUCAAUCUCAUUAAGUUUACUUAAAAGUUAUUUUAAAUUCUGCAGUCGAAAAGUUGCAUAUGCCCAUUGCUACCUAAUUCAGUUUGACAUUUUAUUUUGUGUUCAGGUGAUAUUGUGCUUACCUUAGAGUUCUUGAUACUUGUUGGACUGCAGUGUUGUCUGGAAGUGAAGGAGUAGGAAAUGUUGAAUGGUUUUUAUCUUCCUAAGCUGGCUUUGUUGGUACCUGCCAUCCAGAAUUCUCAACAGCCUGCUCACUUGUCUCUGAGGCUGUGGACACUUCGGUGCAGUAAGUCGAGGUCUACCGCGAUUCGGUCCAUGUGCCAGUACUGUUUCAGCAUCAGAGGGUGCUCCGCUCCUAAUUUAGUCCCCAGUCAGGGACCCUUGGGCUUCCUCUAGUGCUGGGUCAGCUCAUGGACAUGAGUGCAAGGCAAGCCCUGUGCUUUCUCACCCUAUCUCCAGCAGUUGGAAUCUUGCUCCGCUGUCGUCCUUUGACUGGUGGCUAAGGCGGGUUCAGUCUCACUCUGUAGGUGCUGGCCUGGAGGCAGCAGCUCUGGGGCCCUGCCAGCACUGGGUUUUUACCGGUUGACCUGGUGAUGCAUUUUAAGUCUGUGGCCUUGACUGAAUUCAGUCUCCAUGCGCCUUUGCAGGCGGCCUGGAGCUACACUGCUUGGAGCUGGAGGAAUGAGCGAUGCGGCCACUCUUCCCUUCUCGCCUAUUUCAACACACACUUUCCAGUUAUCCUGGAGUCCGUCAGAGCGAUCCCUCGCCUGGCUUCUUCAGCUCUUGUGAGAGUGGCUGGCCCCUGAGGCUGUUCAGAGUGGUGUCUCUUUUCCAGAGCUUCUUACCUGGCCUUCAUUAUCUCCACCUCUCUUUUGAAAAAUACCUUGCAGCUUACAAACCGCUUUACCAAAGAGAACACGGAGGCUCAGCAGAGGGACACAGAUCUGGGCAAUCUUGCAAACAUUCCUUCAUGGUACAGAACUGAUCUGAAGAAUCACAUAGUUUGAUCCUGUGGUAUCUCCUGUGCUGUGGUAGAGACAGAAAAAGACUAACUUGAACAGUUCUCAGUUGGAGGUCACUGCUCAGUUUUUAAAAGUGCAGCCAAUUCAAUGAAUUUCACCUUUGGAAGCAUCAAUCCAUGCUGUAUUUUUCACUUUUAUAAUUUCAUCUUACAAAUUUUAGUAUCUUUUCCUGAGCAUAUUAAUCACAGCCUUUUAAAAGUCCUGCCUAAUUUCAAAAUCAAUGUCAUCCAUAGGUCUUUUUAAAUUAUCUAUAUUUUCUCUUUCAUUUAGCUGGAGUUUUACCUUUUUUAAAGACAUGAUUUUUUAAUUGGAUAUCAGAUACUGCAUAUGAAAAAUUGUAGAGGAUUUGAAGGCUCUCCAGAAGGGUUUAAUAUUUUCUACUGCUAAGCAUAUGGAAUGCAGAUUGGUUAUUACAAUCCAAUUAGGCCUGGGCUUGAGGCUGGGUUUCAGUAUUAUUAAGGCUUUUUUUUUUCUUUUGGCUCCUCCAAAAUCUUGGGUGGAAUCCCUCAGCUAGACCUGCAAUUUUCACAGGUAAGUUCUAGAACUCCAAUCCUGAAAUUUUUUUUCUUCGAUUUUGCAGUUGCUUCUUGGUUUCUUAAUCUUGCUCCCUGUGUGGUUUUAAAAUUUGGAAGAUAUCUUGAGUGAUAGUUAUUAUAUUCAGGUUUUUUUUUUUUCUGCACCAAACUUUUUACUGAGCAUCUGACCUCUAAGGUUUUUGAUUGUUUGGUCUCUUUACUCCCCUAGGGCUGUCAAAGCUAGGCUGCUUCUUGAUCUAUUAGUAGAGGUUCUCUGCCUGGUUUCGUGCUGUGUUCUUAAGUUUCCUGCCCUGUGCUUAAAAAUCACAAACAGAAUUUCUUUACAAUUGCUCAUAUCCCAAGGAUUAUGUCCCCUAAGGUCUGUUUACCUAUGUGUUCUCCAAAGCCUAUAAUGAUGUUUUUUAAAAAACAUUUUAUCAGAAUUUCUUUUUGUUCUUCAGUGGAGCUUUUGUUUAUUGCAAGCUAUUGCAUCUUAGCCAAAGUUAGAAGUCCUACUACAGAGAACUUUUUCUAGUUUAUAACCUUUUAUUUUUUCGCUUUGUCUUCUUUUGGACUGCAUACGAUCACGGAGCUGUGUAUCUGUGUUCAUUCUAUCUCCAGUGCCUGUUAUCCAUUCUUGUCAUGUAAUAGGAACUCAAUAAAUACAUGCUGAUCUAAUGAAUAUUCA
This is a long non-coding RNA of Oryctolagus cuniculus (rabbit), 2374 nucleotides long. NCBI's taxonomy places the organism in Eukaryota, Metazoa, Chordata, Mammalia, Lagomorpha, Leporidae. The record is from Ensembl.